Molecule: ribosomal RNA, 441 nt
Filed under: uncultured bacterium
Lineage: Bacteria
Description: bacterial SSU rRNA
Rfam family: Bacterial small subunit ribosomal RNA
Source: RNAcentral
CGGUGCGCCUUAUGCAUGCAAGUCGAGCGAAGCUUUUCAGUAGUUUACUACAGAAAAUGACUGAGCGGCGAACGGGUGAGUAACGCGUGAGCAACCUACCUUAGUUACUGGGAUAGCCCGAGGAAACUCGGAUUAAUACCGGAUAUUCUUAUUUAAUCACAUGAUUUUUUAAGGAAAGGUCAGCCGAACUAAGAUGGGCUCGCGUUCUAUCAGCUAGUUGGUAGGGUAAUGGCCUACCAAGGCUACGACGGAUAGCUGGUCUGAGAGGACGAUCAGCCACACUGGGACUGAGACACGGCCCAGACUCCUACGGGAGGCUGCAGCAGGGAAUAUUGCGCAAUGAGCGAAAGCUUGACGCAGCGACACCGCGUGUGGGAUGACGGAUCUAGGUUUGUAAACCACUUUCAGGAGGGAAGAAAAUGACGGUACCUCCACAAGAAG